RNAcentral lists this long non-coding RNA (874 nucleotides) under Felis catus (domestic cat). RNAcentral's name for it is "lncRNA (ENSFCAG00000047408.1)". The record is from RNAcentral. Lineage: Eukaryota; Metazoa; Chordata; Mammalia; Carnivora; Felidae.
CUUGAGAUUCGCUUUGACCUACGAGUGCUGUGGAUCCCAAGCUUGUUUCCGGAACGAAUUACGCUCGCAAAGCAAGGUUUUACUGUAUCUCCCUCUCCGUUGUCCUCCCGGGUUACCCCUGGGAACUGGAUGCCACCCACCUCCGUGAGGUAGACCCGCCUGGCACCCUCAGCCUGACAGCCAGACCCCACUGCGGGCCUCCUUGCCACCCACACUCACCAGAACCCAAGACGACAGGAGGAGACUAGAGCCCCGGCAGUUCUCCCGGGAGCCGCCACCCCGUUUCUGGGAACACAGGACUGACUGUCAACACUCUGCGUUCACACGGAAGCUUUCUCUUCUCCAAAAGCAGCAAGAGAAGCUUGUGGAGAUGAUGCCCCUUGGUUUAAUUCAGAGCUGGAGUAUCCUCAGGAAAAGCCUGCCCUUGAGACUCCAUGUUCAGUGCCGUCCGAAAGCCUUGUCUCCGGGACUGAAGGCUGGGUGGAACCGUCAGGCACGGUCCCCACCCUCGGCCUGGCCCUCGAUGGACGCUGGGUUUAUCACUGGCCACUUGGAGAUGUGGCUCGGGACAGACACGCAGCUCUCCGAGUGGCGCAGACAAGAGGAACAGAAGACAUAAACCCCUGGAAAUGAGCUCCACUCGCUGCCUCCCCUCCAGGGUUUCUGAGAACUGCCUCUGCCUUAAGCCCUCUGGCUUUGCCGAGGAUUGAGGCCUGCAAAAUUCUAGCAACUUCAGAACUCAGCGGUGAUCUCUGGGGACCUGGGGGCUGGCUGUCCGGUCCGCCUCCCCCCAGCCCCCCCCACCAUCCUCUGUCCUGCAGCCCCUCCCCCCAGCCCCCCCACCAUCCUCUGUCCUGCAGCCCCUCCCCCCAGC